UAGAGAUAAAUAAAAUAACUUUUAAAUAUAUUUUUUGCUGUGAUUUCUAUAAUUUUUAAUUUUGAAGUGAUGCCAAGUAGGCCCUUACUGGGUAGACUUCUCUUAGUGAUAGUGCUAGCUAUCUAGCUGAAGAACUAUGAACAAAUAUGAUAUCAAAGAUUAACCUCAUAUUUGGUAGGAAGGAUAGAUUGGAGGAUGAUAGAGGA
This 206-nucleotide long non-coding RNA is filed under the name Elaeis guineensis (African oil palm). Its description in RNAcentral is "long non-coding RNA (EGUI_LNC070314)". The record is from RNAcentral. Lineage: Eukaryota; Viridiplantae; Streptophyta; Magnoliopsida; Arecales; Arecaceae.